GUGCUUGCACUGAUUUCAACAAUGAAGCGAGUGGCGAACUGGUGAGUAACACGUGGGGAAUCUGCCCAGAAGCAGGGGAUAACACUUGGAAACAGGUGCUAAUACCGUAUAACAACAAAAUCCGCAUGGAUUUUGUUUGAAAGGUGGCUUCGGCUAUCACUUCUGGAUGAUCCCGCGGCGUAUUAGUUAGUUGGUGAGGUAAAGGCCCACCAAGACGAUGAUACGUAGCCGACCUGAGAGGGUAAUCGGCCACAUUGGGACUGAGACACGGCCCAAACUCCUACGGGAGGCAGCAGUAGGGAAUCUUCCACAAUGGACGAAAGUCUGAUGGAGCAAUGCCGCGUGAGUGAAGAAGGGUUUCGGCUCGUAAAACUCUGUUGUUAAAGAAGAACACCUUUGAGAGUAACUGUUCAAGGGUUGACGGUAUUUAACCAGAAAGCCACGGCUAACUACGUGCCAGCAGCCGCGGUAAUACGUAGGUGGCAAGCGUUGUCCGGAUUUAUUGGGCGUAAAGCGAGCGCAGGCGGUUUUUUAAGUCUGAUGUGAAAGCCUUCGGCUUAACCGGAGAAGUGCAUCGGAAACUGGGAGACUUGAGUGCAGAAGAGGACAGUGGAACUCCAUGUGUAGCGGUGGAAUGCGUAGAUAUAUGGAAGAACACCAGUGGCGAAGGCGGCUGUCUAGUCUGUAACUGACGCUGAGGCUCGAAAGCAUGGGUAGCGAACAGGAUUAGAUACCCUGGUAGUCCAUGCCGUAAACGAUGAGUGCUAAGUGUUGGAGGGUUUCCGCCCUUCAGUGCUGCAGCUAACGCAUUAAGCACUCCGCCUGGGGAGUACGACCGCAAGGUUGA
Molecule: ribosomal RNA, 847 nt
Filed under: Levilactobacillus brevis
Lineage: Bacteria; Bacillati; Bacillota; Bacilli; Lactobacillales; Lactobacillaceae
Description: bacterial SSU rRNA
Rfam family: Bacterial small subunit ribosomal RNA
Source: RNAcentral